GACGAACGCUGGCGGCGUGCUUAGCACAUGCAAGUCGAGCGGUAAGGCCCUUUCGGGGGUACACGAGCGGCGAACGGGUGAGUAACACGUGGGUGACCUGCCCUCAGCUCUGGGAUAAGCCUGGGAAACCGGGUCUAAUACUGGAUAUGACUCCAUGACGCAUGUUGUGGGGUGGAAAGCCUUGUGCGGCUGAGGAUGGGCCCGCGGCCUAUCAGC
Molecule: ribosomal RNA, 216 nt
Filed under: uncultured bacterium
Lineage: Bacteria
Description: partial 16S ribosomal RNA
Rfam family: Bacterial small subunit ribosomal RNA
Source: RNAcentral